Molecule: ribosomal RNA, 642 nt
Filed under: uncultured beta proteobacterium
Lineage: Bacteria; Pseudomonadati; Pseudomonadota; Betaproteobacteria
Description: bacterial SSU rRNA
Rfam family: Bacterial small subunit ribosomal RNA
Source: RNAcentral
CUGGUGGCGAGUGGCGAACGGGUGAGUAAUACAUCGGAACAUGUCCUGUAGUGGGGGAUAGCCCGGCGAAAGCCGGAUUAAUACCGCAUACGAUCUACGGAUGAAAGCGGGGGACCUUCGGGCCUCGCGCUAUAGGGUUGGCCGAUGGCUGAUUAGCUAGUUGGUGGGGUAAAGGCCUACCAAGGCGACGAUCAGUAGCUGGUCUGAGAGGACGACCAGCCACACUGGGACUGAGACACGGCCCAGACUCCUACGGGAGGCAGCAGUGGGGAAUUUUGGACAAUGGGCGAAAGCCUGAUCCAGCAAUGCCGCGUGUGUGAAGAAGGCCUUCGGGUUGUAAAGCACUUUUGUCCGGAAAGAAAUCCUUGGUUCUAAUAUAGCCGGGGGAUGACGGUACCGGAAGAAUAAGCACCGGCUAACUACGUGCCAGCAGCCGCGGUAAUACGUAGGGUGCGAGCGUUAAUCGGAAUUACUGGGCGUAAAGCGUGCGCAGGCGGUUUGCUAAGACCGAUGUGAAAUCCCCGGGCUCAACCUGGGAACUGCAUUGGUGACUGGCAGGCUAGAGUAUGGCAGAGGGGGGUAGAAUUCCACGUGUAGCAGUGAAAUGCGUAGAGAUGUGGAGGAAUACCGAUGGCGAAGGCA